This is a long non-coding RNA of Oreochromis niloticus (Nile tilapia), 632 nucleotides long. RefSeq lists it as uncharacterized. The transcript has 3 exons. NCBI's taxonomy places the organism in Eukaryota, Metazoa, Chordata, Actinopteri, Cichliformes, Cichlidae. The record is from RefSeq and is a predicted model, not a curated record.
AGGAUGAAUGUUAUCCCUCGGUCCAACCCACUUUCAGCCUGGCGCAUUAGGGGGCGCUAGUAUAAAUAGUGGCCAUUUGAGUGUCCCUGGAUCGCUUACCUGUGAUCUCCUUUUUUGGUCACCUGACUUCCCUUUGGUGUUGCUGAGAUUAUUUGCGGGUUACACUUCUGAAGCCUCCAUCGCGGCUGGUCGUAGCUGUAGAAGCCUCCUCUGAGCCAUUCUGCUCAUGCUUUAUGACGCGGCUUACUCGGAAGUGUGGGCCUUAGUUUUACGCCACGCUACGCGAACCGAGGUGCUGCUGUUUUGCUUUGCUUUGCUGUGCUUUUACCGUCUGUUCCCGUUGCGAGAUUUCUUUUCCUGCUGCUGCCAGCUUUUACAGUGGACGUCGGCGUGGACAGCAUCCAUAUGCCCGCCGGUUAUGGGAGUCAGCUGGCGUGCAUAUUGAUUGACUGUUAACUUGUAGUUGUGCAGACGGCAAGUUGGAGCAAUACGGCGAUUCCGUUUGCUCCAGAUUUUAGAGUUUUAUCCAGAUUGUAUGUUGUUUUACUGUUUUUGAUUUGUAGUUUGGAUUUUUGUUACGCCACUGGUGGGAGGCCCUUUUUCUAGCUGUAGAUCACCAGUGUGGUCCUGCA